This 424-nucleotide ribosomal RNA is filed under the name uncultured bacterium. RNAcentral's name for it is "bacterial SSU rRNA". It matches the Rfam family "Bacterial small subunit ribosomal RNA", at positions 355 to 776 of the family's 1533-position model. The record is from RNAcentral.
UGAGGAAUAUUGGUCAAUGGGCGCAAGCCUGAACCAGCCAUCCCGCGUGAAGGAUGACGGCCUUAUGGGUUGUAAACUUCUUUUGUAUGGGAAGAAACCUUGGAACGUGUUCCAAGCUGACGGUACCAUGCGAAUAAACAUCGGCUAACUCCGUGCCAGCAGCCGCGGUAAUACGGAGGAUGCAAGCGUUAUCCGGAUUCAUUGGGUUUAAAGGGUGCGUAGGUGGAGUAGUAAGUCAGUGGUGAAAUCCUACAGCUUAACUGUAGAACUGCCGUUGAUACUGCUAUUCUUGAGUAUAUUUGGAGUGGGCGGAAUGUGUCAUGUAGCGGUGAAAUGCAUAGAUAUGACACAGAACACCGAUCGCGAAGGCAGCUCACUAAACUAUUACUGACACUGAGGCACGAAAGCGUGGGGAGCAAACAGG